This 526-nucleotide ribosomal RNA is filed under the name uncultured bacterium. RNAcentral's name for it is "bacterial SSU rRNA". It matches the Rfam family "Bacterial small subunit ribosomal RNA", at positions 777 to 1301 of the family's 1533-position model. The record is from RNAcentral.
AAUAGAUACCCUGGUAGUCCACGCCGUAAACGAUGAGUGCUAAGUGUUAGAGGGUUUCCGCCCUUUAGUGCUGCAGCUAACGCAUUAAGCACUCCGCCUGGGGAGUACGGUCGCAAGACUGAAACUCAAGGGAAUUGACGGGGGCCCGCACAAGCGGUGGAGCAUGUGGUUUAAUUCGAAGCAACGCGAAGAACCUUACCAGGUCUUGACAUCCUCUGACAACUCUAGAGAUAGAGCGUUCCCCUUCGGGGGACAGAGUGACAGGUGGUGCAUGGUUGUCGUCAGCUCGUGUCGUGAGAUGUUGGGUUAAGUCCCGCAACGAGCGCAACCCUUGAUCUUAGUUGCCAGCAUUUAGUUGGGCACUCUAAGGUGACUGCCGGUGACAAACCGGAGGAAGGUGGGGAUGACGUCAAAUCAUCAUGCCCCUUGUGACCUGGGCUACACACGUGCUACAAUGGAUGGUACAAAGAGCUGCGAACCCGCGAGGGUAAGCGAAUCUCAUAAAGCCAUUCUCAGUUCGGAUUGU